ACUUCUCUGCUGGUCCCUGCCUGUGUAAACACCAUGACUCUGGGUUCUGCUCAGCAGACUGAAGGGAACACAACUAUGAUGAUUCUCUAUGCUGUACUUGGAGAAGGCUGGUUAGUCAUAAGUUUUAAAGCAGGUUUUUAGAUCAAAAAGAAUUGUACUCAAGGAAUUGAAGCUAUGGAGCCUCUGCCACAUCUGGACCUGAUUUUGAUGACAAGAUCCUGUACCUCAAGCCCGAGACUAAUUUCAUAAUUUGAUGAAUCUUUUUGGAGAGUCAUGGGAGGAAUGUAAACAAUUUGUGGCCAAAGGAGAAUUAUGGUAGUUUGAAGAUGUGGAUACAAAUUAUUUGACAUUCUUCUCAUAGAAAGGUGAUGCUUAUGUCUCCACCCCUUGUAAACAAGCUGGCUUGUGACUUUGACCUAUAGUGUAUGGUGGGAGUGAUGCUGUGGAACUGGAAUUACUAGCAUCAGGAAACCUACUUGCUACAGACCCAACAACGUGCAAUGAUCAGAUCCCAAUUUAGACUGUAAAAAGACCAAUAUCAGAGACUAAGAACUGAGAUCAAACAUACCUUCUUCCUGUACCAAACAGUUCUGGGGCCAAAUAUUGUCUACUGUCUCUAUGCUAACUAGUACUGAAACCAGGCAAAAUUAACUACUUAGCCGCUUGUUCCAGGAAAUACCUGCUCUCGGAAGAAAUAAGUUAACCCACCUGUAUUAGUCUGUUUUCUGCUGCCAUAACAGAACAUUACAGACUAGAUAAUUACUUUGAAAAGUUUAUUUGACCCACAGUUCUGGAAGCUAGGAAAUCCAAGAGGAUGGCACUGGUGUCUGGUGAGGGUCAUGUUAUAGUGGAGGAGUGGAGGAUGGAAGCAAACACAUGAGACAGAGAGAGAAAUCAGGCCAGACUUACUUCUCUAACAAACCCCAUCUCAAUAACUAACUCAUUCCUAUGAUAAUAGCAUUAAUUAUCUCAUGAAAGCCCUCAUAACCUAAUUACCUCUUAAAGACCCCACAUCAAUAAAAUAUCAACAUGAGUUUUGGAGGGGACGUAUAUUUAAAUAAUAGCACCAACUAAAGAGCUUACUUACCUUGCUCAUCAAGACUUUCUUCAAGACUUUCAUCGUGUUGUUUCUAUCUACCCCAAACUAUUAUUUCAUACCCUUUGUUCCAUCCCAACUAAUUUUAGAUGCUACGGUCUGAAUGUUGAAAUUCAUGUAUUGAAACCUAGUCACCAAUUUAUGGUAUUAGGAGAUUGUCCUUUGGGAGGUGAUUGGGCCACAAGGGCUUCACUCUCAUUAAUGGAAUUAGUGUUCUUCUAAAAGAGGCUGCAGAGAGCUGCGUUUUCUCCUCCAUUGUGUGUGAAGGCAGUGAGAAUUUGUUUGCAAUGAAUCAGGAAAUGGGCCCUCACCAGACACCAGCACUUUGAUCUUAGAUUUUCCAACCUACAGAACUGUGAGAAAUGAAUUUCUGUGGUUUAUACCACCAACUUAGGGUAUUUUGUUAUAGCAGCCAGAACAGAUGAAGGAACUCCACCUUGCCUUAAAAUGACUCAUUUCAGGCCCCGAAAUCCCAUAAACACUUUCCCUUGA
Homo sapiens (human) is the source of this 1588-nucleotide long non-coding RNA. Ensembl annotates it as long intergenic non-protein coding RNA 2607. The record is from Ensembl. Lineage: Eukaryota; Metazoa; Chordata; Mammalia; Primates; Hominidae.